CAGUUGGGCAACCAAAACUGAAACCAGCAGCUGGAGAGUGCAGCAUGCCCCAAAAUGCUCUGAAGAUAGUAAGCACCCUCGUAGCGCUAAUACAGUAAUCACUUUUUUUACCAGCAGCUGGAUGGAGCAUAUGUGCAGUGUGCUCUCUUUGGAGAAGCUGUCUCUGUGAAUUACCGAGUUGCAGAACAAAAACAUCUGGCAUUCCCUUGUGAGGAAAGCUCAGAUAUGAAAGCCAAGGCAAGGAGCAGG
Long non-coding RNA from Lepidothrix coronata (blue-crowned manakin), 249 nucleotides. RefSeq lists it as uncharacterized. Lineage: Eukaryota; Metazoa; Chordata; Aves; Passeriformes; Pipridae. The transcript is spliced from 3 exons. The record is from RefSeq and is a predicted model, not a curated record.